AAAAAAUAGACGGUAUCUGAGGAAUAAGCAUCGGCUAACUCUGUGCCAAGCAGCCGCGGUAAGACAGAGGAUGCAAGCCGUUAUCCGGAAUGAUUGGGCGUAAAGCGUCUGUAGGGUGGCUUUUCAAGUCCGCCGUCAAAUCCCAGGGCUCAACCCUGGACAGGCGGUGGAAACUACCAAGCUGGGGUACGGUAGGGGCAGAGGGAAUUUCCGGUGGAGCGGUGAAAUUGCGUUGAGAUCGGAAAGAACACCA
Molecule: ribosomal RNA, 253 nt
Filed under: uncultured organism
Description: partial 16S ribosomal RNA
Rfam family: Bacterial small subunit ribosomal RNA
Source: RNAcentral